This 76-nucleotide transfer RNA is filed under the name Roseibium album. Its description in RNAcentral is "tRNA-Ala". It matches the Rfam family "tRNA". Rfam says of the family: Transfer RNA (tRNA) molecules are approximately 80 nucleotides in length. Lineage: Bacteria; Pseudomonadati; Pseudomonadota; Alphaproteobacteria; Hyphomicrobiales; Stappiaceae. RNAcentral also lists the same sequence under 26 other names. The record is from RNAcentral.
GGGGCCAUAGCUCAGCUGGGAGAGCGCUUCGCUGGCAGCGAAGAGGUCAGGGGUUCGAUUCCCCUUGGCUCCACCA